This 1405-nucleotide ribosomal RNA is filed under the name Serratia marcescens. RNAcentral's name for it is "bacterial SSU rRNA". It matches the Rfam family "Bacterial small subunit ribosomal RNA". The record is from RNAcentral. Lineage: Bacteria; Pseudomonadati; Pseudomonadota; Gammaproteobacteria; Enterobacterales; Yersiniaceae.
GUCGAGCGGUAGCACAGGGGAGCUUGCUCCCUGGGUGACGAGCGGCGGACGGGUGAGUAAUGUCUGGGAAACUGCCUGAUGGAGGGGGAUAACUACUGGAAACGGUAGCUAAUACCGCAUAACGUCGCAAGACCAAAGAGGGGGACCUUCGGGCCUCUUGCCAUCAGAUGUGCCCAGAUGGGAUUAGCUAGUAGGUGGGGUAAUGGCUCACCUAGGCGACGAUCCCUAGCUGGUCUGAGAGGAUGACCAGCCACACUGGAACUGAGACACGGUCCAGACUCCUACGGGAGGCAGCAGUGGGGAAUAUUGCACAAUGGGCGCAAGCCUGAUGCAGCCAUGCCGCGUGUGUGAAGAAGGCCUUCGGGUUGUAAAGCACUUUCAGCGAGGAGGAAGGUGGUGAGCUUAAUACGCUCAUCAAUUGACGUUACUCGCAGAAGAAGCACCGGCUAACUCCGUGCCAGCAGCCGCGGUAAUACGGAGGGUGCAAGCGUUAAUCGGAAUUACUGGGCGUAAAGCGCACGCAGGCGGUUUGUUAAGUCAGAUGUGAAAUCCCCGGGCUCAACCUGGGAACUGCAUUUGAAACUGGCAAGCUAGAGUCUCGUAGAGGGGGGUAGAAUUCCAGGUGUAGCGGUGAAAUGCGUAGAGAUCUGGAGGAAUACCGGUGGCGAAGGCGGCCCCCUGGACGAAGACUGACGCUCAGGUGCGAAAGCGUGGGGAGCAAACAGGGGAUUAGAUACCCUGGUAGUCCACGCUGUAAACGAUGUCGAUUUGGAGGUUGUGCCCUUGAGGCGUGGCUUCCGGAGCUAACGCGUUAAAUCGACCGCCUGGGGAGUACGGCCGCAAGGUUAAAACUCAAAUGAAUUGACGGGGGCCCGCACAAGCGGUGGAGCAUGUGGUUUAAUUCGAUGCAACGCGAAGAACCUUACCUACUCUUGACAUCCAGAGAACUUAGCAGAGAUGCUUUGGUGCCUUCGGGAACUCUGAGACAGGUGCUGCAUGGCUGUCGUCAGCUCGUGUUGUGAAAUGUUGGGUUAAGUCCCGCAACGAGCGCAACCCUUAUCCUUUGUUGCCAGCGGUUCGGCCGGGAACUCAAAGGAGACUGCCAGUGAUAAACUGGAGGAAGGUGGGGAUGACGUCAAGUCAUCAUGGCCCUUACGAGUAGGGCUACACACGUGCUACAAUGGCGUAUACAAAGAGAAGCGACCUCGCGAGAGCAAGCGGACCUCAUAAAGUACGUCGUAGUCCGGAUUGGAGUCUGCAACUCGACUCCAUGAAGUCGGAAUCGCUAGUAAUCGUAGAUCAGAAUGCUACGGUGAAUACGUUCCCGGGCCUUGUACACACCGCCCGUCACACCAUGGGAGUGGGUUGCAAAAGAAGUAGGUAGCUUAACCUUCGGGAGGGCGCU